This 506-nucleotide ribosomal RNA is filed under the name uncultured bacterium. Its description in RNAcentral is "partial 16S ribosomal RNA". It matches the Rfam family "Bacterial small subunit ribosomal RNA", at positions 29 to 523 of the family's 1533-position model. The record is from RNAcentral.
AGUGAACGCUGGCGGUAGGCCUAACACAUGCAAGUCGAACGGCAGCACAGAGGAGCUUGCUCCUUGGGUGGCGAGUGGCGGACGGGUGAGGAAUACAUCGGAAUCUACUCUGUCGUGGGGGAUAACGGAGGGAAACUUACGCUAAUACCGCAUACGACCUACGGGUGAAAGCAGGGGACCUUCGGGCCUUGCGCGAUUGAAUGAGCCGAUGUCGGAUUAGCUAGUUGGCGGGGUAAAGGGCCACCAAGGCGACGAUCCGUAGCUGGUCUGAGAGGAUGAUCAGCCACACUGGAACUGAGACACGGUCCAGACUCCUACGGGAGGCAGCAGUGGGGAAUAUUGGACAAUGGGCGCAAGCCUGAUCCAGCCAUACCGCGUGGGUGAAGAAGGCCUUCGGGUUGUAAAGCCCUUUUGUUGGGAAAGAAAUCCAGCUGGCUAAUACCCGGUUGGGAUGACGGUACCCAAAGAAUAAGCACCGGCUAACUUCGUGCCAGCCGCCGCGGUAA